This 375-nucleotide ribosomal RNA is filed under the name uncultured eukaryote. Its description in RNAcentral is "partial 18S ribosomal RNA". It matches the Rfam family "Eukaryotic small subunit ribosomal RNA", at positions 592 to 976 of the family's 1831-position model. The record is from RNAcentral.
CAAUAGCGUAUAUUUAAGUUGUUGCAGUUGAAAAGCUCGUAGUUGGAUUUCGGUUAAGAGCGACCGGUCCGCCGUUUGGUGUGCACUGGUUGGUUUUAACUUCCUGUAGAGGACGUGCUCUGGGUUUAACGACCUGGACUCGGAGUCUACGUGGUUACUUUGAAAAAAUUAGAGUGUUCAAAGCGGGCUUACGCUUGAAUAUUUCAGCAUGGAAUAACACUAUAGGACUCCUGUCCUAUUUCGUUGGUCUCGGGACGGGAGUAAUGAUUAAGAGGAACAGUUGGGGGCAUUCGUAUUUCAUUGUCAGAGGUGAAAUUCUUGGAUUUAUGAAAGACGAACUUCUGCGAAAGCAUUUGCCAAGGAUGUUUUCAUUAA